UUUUAGAGUGGCAUUCACUCACCUUUGGCUUUUCUUUGUAGCCACACGAAUAUGUUCUUGCUGAGGAUUUUGCAUUGUUCCUUCUAUUUUUAUUUUGUUUCUUGCUUUCCCUAAUUUUUGCAUGGACUGAUAUUUUGGAUUUUCAGUCCACCGGGAUGACCUAAUUUUUUCCUAAGUCACUUGUUUUCAUGUUCGAAUUAGCAGGCUUUUCUUUU
RNAcentral lists this long non-coding RNA (215 nucleotides) under Lathyrus oleraceus (garden pea). RNAcentral's name for it is "Pisum sativum (pea) long non-coding RNA (PSAT_LNC019038)". The record is from RNAcentral. Lineage: Eukaryota; Viridiplantae; Streptophyta; Magnoliopsida; Fabales; Fabaceae.